AAAAGUGAAAAAGAUUUAAAUUUUCAUUACAAAGUGUUAUCAAACAGUUGUCUAAUUAAAGAUUAUAAGUAAUGGAUCACAUAGAACACAAAGUUUGGCUCAAGAAACCAAUAAAUUAGUGAAGUGUUAUGAAUUUUAGGUUGGAAUUUUCCACUGAAAAAAUCAUGAAAUGCUGCGGUAAAUCUACAAAACUACAAUAAAGAUUAACAACUGCUGAUACAUUUAAACGUAAAUUAUGCCAAAAGGUAGGCUUUUCAAUGUCUUUGUAAUAAUUUUCCAAUAAAGAAAGUGAACCAAACAGUCAUUCGUUAUUCGUGUUUUCCUCGUCAUCUCUCAUUUGUCAACAUAAGUUUCUUGCAUCAAAGAUGCAAUAAUCAUUCCGCAUAGGCAAUGUAAUAAUUGUGAAGCCCCAAAAUUCGUACAACGCUCAAAAUAUCCGAAUAAACAUUUUCCCGCCAUUUAUGGUUACUGUUUUCAACCUAGCUCAGUGGCGCCCCCAACGGUAAUUUUACUUCCGAAUAGUGGCGGUCAGCUCGAUUUGCGUGUGCGUCAUCAAUUUCAUUUUUUCAUUACCAACACAAAGCUAUAAAAAAUUAUCAAAAACAAUGCAAAUUUAAACAGCUAAGGGCUAUCUAAGGGUGGUAUCCUUGAACAUUAAUUUACAUGUGCACUUCGACAACACCGUCAAGUGUCACGAAUUUGUCAACCUGACAUUGACAGUAAAUUAUAGACGUCGUCGCAUGGUUGUCGAAAGUGUUAUCGGUGUUAAUCGCAAGUAUUUUCCGUUCGUUUAUUGUGUUUUGUGAUUUGCGUUUCGUUAGGUUUUUGAUUCUGCGUUUAUGUUUUGUGAAUCUGUAUUUUUUGUAACAACCCAUAAUUUAAACACUUCGUAACCUCAAAAAAUAUCUGAUAGUUUGUCACCGCUAUGCCCCUGCUAUGUAAACGUCAGGGUUAGUCAAGCGGCAUAGGAGAAACGGUUUAUUAAAUCAUACUAUCAACAUGCGGCGCCACGUGCGUUAUCUAUGCAGAUUUCUGUAAAUUUGGGGUACGUGGCACGGUCGUUAAUAGAAACUACUUAUGCCAUCUUUUGGUAGUGUGAUUUCAAAUUAAAUUCACGAAUUUAUCCAAAAAUCCAAAAUAUUAAGCAACCUUUGGCGCGCAAUGUCACACUACAUUCAACGGUGUCAAAAAGUUUUUUCAAUUUUAAAUGUUUCAAUUUCCAAUUUGAAUUAUUCUGCUACGUGUUGUGUUCGUGGUUUUCUCUUUUUAUUCUUAUUUGAAUUCGUUUGUUGGUGUUAUCUACUCCUAAAGUAAUCUCAAAAACAUUUAAGUUUUGAACUUUCGAAGGCUAAAUUUUGCUCUGGUGUGGACCUAUUAUACAACCUACAACGUUUAUUAAACAACUUCUGGCUGGCUGGAACACAUGAUUCUGGAAACAGUGCAUCUCUUUACUUGUGAGAGCUAUCCAGAAACAAAUCGACUUGGGCACCAAAAAUAACUUCGAGAAUUUAAACCAAAUUUCAUUUUUUGAGUGGACAUCUAUGAUGGACACCGUUUAAGACUUCUACCUUGCACAUAGUGUCUUUUAUUUAAUACACGCGUUCAUUCAUUCAUUUGUACAAAAACCACAAAAACGUAUCUUGAACUCCCUCCUUUUUACCGUUAAGUUUCAAGACUGGUGAAUCCACCAAAGUGGAGUCCUUACAUUAAAAUCAGAAAAACCUUUUACUCAUAAUAAGUUCAUAUAAGUAAAUUUGUUGUAAAGUCAUCUAUGUGAGUCUACAACCAACACGAAAACAUACAAGAAAUGUUUGCACAAACUAUUAAAAGCACUACUUUUCUGUGGAAAUUGAAUUGGGCACAUGUCUAAAACUCCAAUGGUACCUUAUUAGAGUCCGUAUUUACAUAUUUAGUUCUUUAAUUUUUUUCCAAGUUUCAAAAUAAUGUUAAAUAACCGGUUUUUGAGGGUGAGGAAGUCGCCAAAUUAAUAUGUGGAAGCCAAACACGACAUUUAUUUCUUAUAAUUGAUGUUUUCAUAAUUUGUGAAACGUUAAUUCAUUAAUAAAUUAUUUUCAUUCAA
Molecule: long non-coding RNA, 2080 nt
Organism: Tribolium castaneum (red flour beetle)
Lineage: Eukaryota; Metazoa; Arthropoda; Insecta; Coleoptera; Tenebrionidae
Exons: 2
Source: RefSeq, a predicted model, not a curated record